CUCUAUGGCCUUAAGCAAGCCCCUCGCGCCUGGUUUGCGCGUUUUGCCUCUGUGGUCACUACUGCUGGUUUUUCAGCAAGUGCUCAUGAUCCAGCAUUGUUUAUUCACCUUUCUCCUCGUGGUCGGACUCUUCUUCUCUAUGUUGAUGACAUGAUCAUCACUGGGGAUGACCCCGAGUAUAUUGCCUUUGUAAAGGCACGUCUUAGUGAGCAGUUUCUUAUGUCUGAUCUUGGACCUCUUCGCUACUUUCUUGGGAUUGAAGUCUCUUCUACCUCUGAUGGCUUUUUUAUAUCCCAGGAAAAGUAUAUCCAGGAUCUUCUUGCUCGUGCUGCUCUUACUGACGAGCGCACUGUUGAGACUCCUAUGGAGCUCAAUGUUCACCUUCGUGCUACUGAUGGUGUUCCUCUCCCUGACCCGACGCGUUAUCGUCAUCUCGUUGGCAGUCUUGUCUAUCUAGCUGUCACUCGUCCGGACAUCUCUUAUCCGGUUCAUAUUCUGAGUCAGUUUGUCUCUGCUCCCACAUCG
Molecule: ribosomal RNA, 525 nt
Filed under: Triticum aestivum (bread wheat)
Lineage: Eukaryota; Viridiplantae; Streptophyta; Magnoliopsida; Poales; Poaceae
Description: partial small subunit ribosomal RNA
Source: RNAcentral